AGAGUUUGAUCCUGGCUCAGAAUCAACGCUGGCGGCGUGCCUAACACAUGCAAGUCGAACGCGAAAGCCCCUUCGGGGGUAAGUAGAGUGGCGUCCGGGUGAGUAACACGUGGGUAAUCUGCCUUCGGGUGGGGAAUAACCCAGGGAAACUUGGGCUAAUACCGCAUAAUGCAGCGGCACCUAAUGGUGAUUAGUUGUUAAAGCGGGGGAUCGCAAGACCUCGCGCCUGAAGAGGAGCCUGCGGCAGAUUAGCUAGUUGGUGAGGUAAUGGCUCACCAAGGCGGCGGUCUGUAGCUGGUCUGAGAGGACGGCCAGCCACACUGGCACUGACACACGGGCCAGACUCCUACGGGAGGCAGCAGUGGGGAAUUUUGGGCAAUGGGCGCAAGCCUGACCCAGCAACGCCGCGUGAGGGAGGAAAUCCUUCGGGAUGUAAACCUCACAAGCAAGGGAAGAGAGCCACGGGCUGAAUAAUCCUGUGGUGCGACGGUACCUAGCGAAGCCAAAA
Molecule: ribosomal RNA, 508 nt
Filed under: uncultured soil bacterium
Lineage: Bacteria
Description: bacterial SSU rRNA
Rfam family: Bacterial small subunit ribosomal RNA
Source: RNAcentral